CCUGCCCCUAGAGGUGUUGCGGGUGUGGCUGCUGUGUCCCAUCUAUGUCAGUAGGUGGCAGAGAGGAGAGAGGCUAUGUCUAUGCUCUGUGUUCUGACCUAUGGACAUCUGAAUGAUUAGUAGCCUAACACU
This is a small nucleolar RNA of Apodemus sylvaticus (European woodmouse), 132 nucleotides long. RefSeq annotates it as small nucleolar RNA SNORA17. The record is from RefSeq and is a predicted model, not a curated record. The transcript has a single exon. Lineage: Eukaryota; Metazoa; Chordata; Mammalia; Rodentia; Muridae.